RNAcentral lists this transfer RNA (69 nucleotides) under Ictidomys tridecemlineatus (thirteen-lined ground squirrel). Its description in RNAcentral is "Spermophilus tridecemlineatus (thirteen-lined ground squirrel) tRNA". It matches the Rfam family "tRNA". From Rfam's summary of the family: Transfer RNA (tRNA) molecules are approximately 80 nucleotides in length. The record is from Rfam by way of RNAcentral. Lineage: Eukaryota; Metazoa; Chordata; Mammalia; Rodentia; Sciuridae.
GGAGUUGUAGCUCAGUGGUAGAGCUCUUGCCUUGCACGUGUGAGGCACUGGGUUCAAUUCUCAGCACCA